This 446-nucleotide ribosomal RNA is filed under the name uncultured bacterium. RNAcentral describes it as "bacterial SSU rRNA". It matches the Rfam family "Bacterial small subunit ribosomal RNA", at positions 329 to 792 of the family's 1533-position model. The record is from RNAcentral.
CUCCAGACUCCUACGGGAGGCAGCAGUGGGGAAUAUUGCACAAUGGGGGAAACCCUGAUGCAGCAACGCCGCGUGAGUGAAGAAGUAUUUCGGUAUGUAAAGCUCUAUCAGCAGGGAAGAGAAUGACGGUACCUGACUAAGAAGCCCCGGCUAACUACGUGCCAGCAGCCGCGGUAAUACGUAGGGGGCAAGCGUUAUCCGGAUUUACUGGGUGUAAAGGGAGCGUAGACGGCGAUGCAAGCCAGAUGUGAAAGCCCGGGGCUCAACCCCGGGACUGCAUUUGGAACUGUGUGGCUGGAGUGUCGGAGAGGCAGGCGGAAUUCCUAGUGUAGCGGUGAAAUGCGUAGAUAUUAGGAGGAACACCAGUGGCGAAGGCGGCCUGCUGGACGAUGACUGACGUUGAGGCUCGAAAGCGUGGGGAGCAAACAGGAUUAGAUACCCUAGUA